Molecule: long non-coding RNA, 367 nt
Filed under: Phasianus colchicus (ring-necked pheasant)
Lineage: Eukaryota; Metazoa; Chordata; Aves; Galliformes; Phasianidae
Description: lncRNA (ENSPCLG00000003146.1)
Source: RNAcentral
CAAAUCCUAGGUUUCUAGGGCACUUUUAACAGCUGCAGAGUGUACAAGUAGGUUAAUGUAACCUCAGAUUUGCCUUUCAUACCCUUGUCAUGUUAACAGCAGACUGCUGACCUCAACUGGGGACUCCUGAUUUUUCCGAUGUAUCUGUGAUGGAUGGAGAAUGAAGCAGACCCAUGUCAUGUAUGAAACAGGAAGAAGUGGCAUAGUUACGUGGUUAAGGACAGCUGGAUCCGCAUUCAGAGUCCUGAGAAGGUUUGUCUCCCUCAGCAGCACAGGGAAGCAGAAUCAGGCAGAGGAAGGGCAGAGGCUUGAGCAUCACUUCCCUCUGACUGGAGAUGCCACUGUAGUCAUUGUGCCAAAGCUUUGA